Molecule: ribosomal RNA, 254 nt
Filed under: uncultured bacterium
Lineage: Bacteria
Description: partial 16S ribosomal RNA
Rfam family: Bacterial small subunit ribosomal RNA
Source: RNAcentral
UACGGGGGGAGCAAGCGUUGUUCGGAUUUACUGGGCGUAAAGGGCGCGUAGGCGGCCAGCACAAGUCAGUUGUGAAAUCUCCGAGCUUAACUCGGAAAGGUCAACUGAUACUGUGCGGCUAGAGUGCGGAAGGGGCAACUGGAAUUCUUGGUGUAGCGGUGAAAUGCGUAGAUAUCAAGAGGAACACCAGUGGCGAAGGCGGUGCUCUGGGCCGGAACUGACGCUGAGGAGCGAAAGCGUGGGGAGCAAACAGG